GAAACUAACAAGGAUUUUCUUAGUAGCGGCGAGCGAAAAGAAAACAGUUCAGCACUAAGCCAUUUUGUCUUUAUGGCAAAUAUGGGAUGCAGUGUAUGGAACAUCUAUAAUCUAGUAUGAGAAAUUAACGAUUUAAGUCCUUCUUAAAUGAGGCCAUUUACCCAUAGAGGGUGCCAGGCCCGUAUAACGUUAAUGAUUACUAGAAGGUGUUUCCAAAGAGUCGUGUUGCUUGAUAGUGCAGCACUAAGUGGGUGGUAAACUCCAUCUAAAACUAAAUAUAACCAUGAGACCGAUAGUAAACAAGUACCGUGAGGGAAAGUUGAAAAGAACUCUGAAUAGAGAGUUAAAUAGUACGUGAAACUGCUUAGAGGUUAAGCCCGAUGAACCUGAAUAUCCAUUAUGGAAAAUUCAAUGCUAAGAAAGAAAUAUAAAAAAAUAUUUUAAUAAUAGUGUGCAAUUUUUCCAUAUAAGGACAUUGUAAUCUGUUAAUGUAAUAAAUAUUUAUCAUAAGAUCCAUUACUUAAGUUUAUUCAAAUUGUUUAUCUUCGGAUUUUCAACAUAAAAUAAAUGUUUUGGAUUUGAUAAAUCAUUGACAGAUAUAAUUAUAUAUUGUGCUUAAAUUUUUCGGAAUUUUACAAUGGUAAAUAGAUCUAUUGAUUUGUUUAUUUAUAUUGUAUGCACUUUUAUGAUUAACAAUGCGAUAGAUUCAGGAUACCUUCGGGACCCGUCUUGAAACACGGACCAAGGAGUCUAACAUAUGUGCAAGUCAUUGGGUAUUUUUAAUAAAACCCAAUGGCAUAAUUAACUUAACUUAAUUUAAUGGGAUUAGUUUAUAAUUUGUCAUGAAUUAUUUAUUCAAUCCCGGGGCGUUCUAUACAGUUAUGCAUAAUGAUAUUUAUAUUAUUUAUGCCUCUAACUAGAGCGUACCUUGAGCAUAUAUGCUGUGACCCGAAAGAUGGUGAACUAUACUUGAUCAGGUUGAAGUCAGGGGAAACCCUGAUGGAAGACCGAAACAGUUCUGACGUGCAAAUCGAUUGUCAGAAUUGAGUAUAGGGGCGAAAGACUAAUCGAACCAUCUAGUAGCUGGUUCCCUCCGAAGUUUCCCUCAGGAUAGC
Molecule: ribosomal RNA, 1115 nt
Filed under: Episyrphus obligatus
Lineage: Eukaryota; Metazoa; Arthropoda; Insecta; Diptera; Syrphidae
Description: eukaryotic LSU rRNA
Rfam family: Eukaryotic large subunit ribosomal RNA
Source: RNAcentral